GAUGAAGAACGUAGCGAAAUGCGAUAAGUAAUGUGAAUUGCAGAAUUCAGUGAAUCAUCGAAUCUUUGAACGCACAUUGCGCCCGCCAGUAUUCUGGCGGGCAUGCCUGUUCGAGCGUCAUUACAACCCUCAGGCCCCCGGGCCUGGCGUUGGGGAUCGGCGGAGCCCCCCGUGGGCACACGCCGUCCCCCAAAUGCAGUGGCGGUCCCGCCGCAGCUUCCAUCGCGUAGUAGCUAACACCUCGCGACUGGAGAGCGGCGCGGCCACGCCGUAAAACACCCAACUCUUCUGAAGUUGACUCGAAUCAGGUAGGAAUACCCGCUGAACUUAAGCAUAUCAAUAAGCGGAGGA
RNAcentral lists this unclassified non-coding RNA (351 nucleotides) under soil metagenome. Its description in RNAcentral is "partial contains 5.8S ribosomal RNA, internal transcribed spacer 2, and large subunit ribosomal RNA". The stretch from base 1 to 120 matches the Rfam family "5.8S ribosomal RNA", at positions 35 to 154 of the family's 154-position model. The record is from RNAcentral.